AUGAGUAGCGAAAGACAGGUGAGAAUCCUGUCCACCGAAUGACUAAGGUUUCCUGGGGAAGGCUCGUCCGCCCAGGGUUAGUCGGGACCUAAGCCGAGGCCGAUAGGCGUAGGCGAUGGAUAACAGGUUGAUAUUCCUGUACCCGUUGUUUUUGUUUGAGCAAUGGAGGGACGCAGGAGGCUAAGGAAUCAGACGAUUGGAAAUGUCUGUCCAAGCAAUAAGUCUUGAUGUGAGUCAAAUGCUUACGUCUUUAAGGACAAGUUGUGAUGGGGAGGGAAAUAAUAGUACCGAAGUUCCUGAUGUCACACUGCCGAGAAAAGCUUCUAGUGAGAAAACAAUGGCCCGUACCGCAAACCGACACAGGUAGUCGAGGAGAGAAUCCUAAGGUGAGCGAGAGAACUCUCGUUAAGGAACUCGGCAAAAUGACCCCGUAACUUCGGGAGAAGGGGUGCUGAUCUAACGAUCAGCCGCAGUGAAUAGGCCCAAGCGACUGUUUAUCAAAAACACAGGUCUCUGCAAAAUCGAAAGAUGACGUAUAGGGGCUGACGCCUGCCCGGUGCUGGAAGGUUAAGAGGAGUGCUUAGCGUA
This 588-nucleotide ribosomal RNA is filed under the name Enterococcus faecalis. RNAcentral's name for it is "partial 23S ribosomal RNA". It matches the Rfam family "Bacterial large subunit ribosomal RNA", at positions 1302 to 1897 of the family's 2925-position model. Lineage: Bacteria; Bacillati; Bacillota; Bacilli; Lactobacillales; Enterococcaceae. The record is from RNAcentral.